UGCCAGCAGCCGCGGUAAUACGGAGGGUGCAAGCGUUAUCCGGAUUUAUUGGGUUUAAAGGGUGCGUAGGCGGAAUUGUAAGUCAGAGGUGAAAUCUUGCAGCUUAACUGUAAAAUUGCCUUUGAUACUGCUAUUCUUGAGUACAGUUGAGGUAGGCGGAAUGUAUAAUGUAGCGGUGAAAUGCUUAGAUAUUAUACAGAACACCGAUUGCGUAGGCAGCUUACUAAGCUGAUACUGACGCUGAGGCACGAAAGCGUGGGGAGCAAACAGGAUUAGAUA
Molecule: ribosomal RNA, 279 nt
Filed under: uncultured bacterium
Lineage: Bacteria
Description: partial 16S ribosomal RNA
Rfam family: Bacterial small subunit ribosomal RNA
Source: RNAcentral